UGGAAAGAAAGAAAGUAAAGGAAAGCCCCUAAAUUUCGAAAACCCUCCCCCUCACUGCAAUCUUUCUCAAUCUCUCCACUGCCAGCGUCGGUGGCUUCUGCGACUGAGCGCUGACCAGCCAAACGCACCGCUACCACCUCUCAUCGGCGUCUUCUCCCUCACUCUCAGGUCAGACGACCUACGAGGAUUAUUUGUGCAAUUUGGUCCUCUUAAGGACACUUAUUUGUCACGAGAUUAUUAUUCUGGAUUCAGUCGAAGUUGGGUUACAGUACAUUGAGAAGUUCAAGUCUUGAAGAAUUUCAUCUCAAUUUUUUCUUAGCCACUCAAAAGGUUAGCAUGGUGAUGUUAAUAUUCUCUUGUUAGAGCUCUCUAUCGAUGUUUCUGUCACUCUCAAUCGAUAGAUUAAUGAUCAAUGAUGCCACUAGUUUAAGUGGCAUUUUGGAAAAACAUGCUAAGUUUUUUUUUUAAUAAGAUUCUUUGUAAAUAUUAAAUAUUAGGGGUGGGUGUGGAAAUGGAUGGAGAGAUUGGAGAAUGAAAUCUGUCCUUUUUUUUUUUUUUUUUUGGAGAGGGGAUUUUCAAGAUGAGCGUAUAUCAAAAGACGAAUGAGAUAUUUAAAAAAAGAGUUGUAAACUCUUUAGGAUUGUAUGAAGGAAAGAAACAGAUAAACGAUAUAAUAUUAUUUAUGAAUGUAUUGAAAUGCUAAUGAUGUUGUGUGAUUGUGUUUGUCCCGAUAUAGGAUGUUUGAGUCACACAACAAGCCUUGAAUUAUGUUAUUCAA
Molecule: long non-coding RNA, 778 nt
Organism: Cucumis sativus (cucumber)
Lineage: Eukaryota; Viridiplantae; Streptophyta; Magnoliopsida; Cucurbitales; Cucurbitaceae
Exons: 3
Source: RefSeq, a predicted model, not a curated record